AGAGUUUGAUCCUGGCUCAGGACGAACGCUGGCGGCGUGCUUAACACAUGCAAGUCGAACGGAAAGGCCCUUUCGGGGGUACUCGAGUGGCGAACGGGUGAGUAACACGUGGGUGAUCUGCCCUGCACUUUGGGAUAAGCCUGGGAAACUGGGUCUAAUACCGGAUAGGACUACGCGAUGCAUGUCGUGUGGUGGAAAGCUUUUGCGGUGUGGGAUGGGCCCGCGGCCUAUCAGCUUGUUGGUGGGGUGAUGGCCUACCAAGGCGACGACGGGUAGCCGGCCUGAGAGGGUGACCGGCCACACUGGGACUGAGAUACGGCCCAGACUCCUACGGGAGGCAGCAGUGGGGAAUAUUGCACAAUGGGCGCAAGCCUGAUGCAGCGACGCCGCGUGAGGGAUGACGGCCUUCGGGUUGUAAACCUCUUUCAGUGCCGACGAAGCGCAAGUGACGGUAGGCAUAGAAGAAGGACCGGCCAACUACGUGCCAGCAGCCGCGGUAAUACGUAGGGUCCGAGCGUUGUCCGGAAUUACUGGGCGUAAAGAGCUCGUAGGUGGUUUGUCGCGUUGUUCGUGAAAACUCACAGCUCAACUGUGGGCGUGCGGGUGAUACGGGCAGACUUGAGUACUGCAGGGGAGACUGGAAUUCCUGGUGUAGCGGUGGAAUGCGCAGAUAUCAGGAGGAACACCGGUGGCGAAGGCGGGUCUCUGGGCAGUAACUGACGCUGAGGAGCGAAAGCGUGGGGAGCGAACAGGAUUAGAUACCCUGGUAGUCC
RNAcentral lists this ribosomal RNA (773 nucleotides) under uncultured bacterium. RNAcentral's name for it is "bacterial SSU rRNA". It matches the Rfam family "Bacterial small subunit ribosomal RNA", at positions 8 to 796 of the family's 1533-position model. The record is from RNAcentral.